GAUGAACGCUGGCGGCGUGCUUAACACAUGCAAGUCGAACGGAAAGGCCCAAGCUUGCUUGGGUACUCGAGUGGCGAACGGGUGAGUAACACGUGGGUGAUCUGCCCUGCACUUCGGGAUAAGCCUGGGAAACUGGGUCUAAUACCGGAUAGGACCACAUCUUGGAUGGUGUGGUGGAAAGUUUUUCGGUGUGGGAUGAGCUCGCGGCCUAUCAGCUUGUUGGUGGGGUAAUGGCCUACCAAGGCGUCGACGGGUAGCCGGCCUGAGAGGGUGUACGGCCACAUUGGGACUGAGAUACGGCCCAGACUCCUACGGGAGGCAGCAGUGGGGAAUAUUGCACAAUGGGCGCAAGCCUGAUGCAGCGACGCCGCGUGGGGGAUGACGGCCUUCGGGUUGUAAACUCCUUUCGCUAGGGACGAAGCGUUAUGUGACGGUACCUGGAGAAGAAGCACCGGCUAACUACGUG
This 466-nucleotide ribosomal RNA is filed under the name uncultured bacterium. Its description in RNAcentral is "partial 16S ribosomal RNA". It matches the Rfam family "Bacterial small subunit ribosomal RNA", at positions 28 to 507 of the family's 1533-position model. The record is from RNAcentral.